This 4182-nucleotide long non-coding RNA is filed under the name Homo sapiens (human). RNAcentral's name for it is "HSALNT0344023". The record is from RNAcentral. Lineage: Eukaryota; Metazoa; Chordata; Mammalia; Primates; Hominidae.
UGCAGAACCAAGCUCUGCUGUAGAAAGAGAGCUGGUAGCAAGGCGUCUCUUCACCCUCUGUCCAGUAAUACACACAAGGUGGCUUCAUAUACAAGGCAGCGUGGGAUCUCUGAGGAAGCCCUUAAGAUGGCGCCGAGGCGCUGGAACGGAAGCCCCUUUCCUUGACCAGCUCUCCCCUCCGAAAUAGGGAUUCCAGAAACGCAGGUUCCUGCCUCUCUGCCCGAGGUCUGGCAGAGCAGGUGGUCUCAGUGUGGUUUGAUGGAGGAGCAAAGGCAUUCCAGAUUCAGAACAGCUUCCUGUUCUGCUCACAGCAGCCUCAAAGUCGAUUGAAAGUUUCUGGCAAAAUACAAAUUAUUUCCUGGGAGGAGGUAAGAGAAUGGAUUAAUUUACUUAGUUUCCUAGUUGAGAAUUUCCCAAGGUACUGGGACUCAGAGCAGAUGUGUCAUUAUUGGUGGGGAGGGGAGGUAAAGGAAAGUCUGGCUCGAUUAUUCUCAGCUGCGACCCGGGACUGUGGCGGGGCUUGCACACACUCACAGCUCCUUCUGGAGACCUCCGCCCGCUUAUCUUUGGGGGCCUGUGGUCCCUGCCUGGCCCACUGUUCUGGCGAACUGCGGCCGCCUAAUGCAGUGCCACCAGCCUGCUGAGACGUACAGUGGCUGCUCCCGGGCUCCUGGCACUCUGAAAUCUGGCAUGCAAUAAACGCAUGCUGCCUGUGGAAGGCAGACAGAUGCAGAAGUUCUCUGUGGUUAGCAGGGGGAAUGGCUGGGAGGCAGCAGUGGUAAACUCUGAUUGUUCUACAGUUUUGCCAACAAGAAUGGUUCUCAAUACGGGCUGCAUGGCAGAAUCUCCAGCAAUUUAUAAAUAUACCAAUUGAAUGUGUACGUUUUUGUAUAUUGUAUUUUAAUAAAAAGUUUAUACACGCAUACAUAUGGCUAGAUAGAUGAUAGAUGCCAACUCCAUCUAUCAAUCAUCUCAUUCUCCAUGAAUGAGAAUCUGUACAGGUGGGGCCUAAACCUGAUUUUUUAAAUCUCUCUCAAGUGACCCCAGUUUGCACUCAGGGAAGAGAACUGUUGCUCUAUGAACUUCUCCAUCAUCUUAAAGAUCCAUGUCCAGAUUACCACCAAGCCAGAAUCAUUUUUAAAAAUUUUAAAUGGAGGGGAUGAAGGAGUGUCUGAGGACAUGCAGGGUCAACAGAGAUGCCCUAGGGCAAUGCCCUGUCUUCUGUAACAAAGUGUGACUGGCCUGUUAACACGGGAAACUGAAGCAUGGUGCUGAGCCUGAGGUGUUGAUGGUACCAGCUCAUGGUUUCUACUAGAAUCCAAGGGUCCAAUAAUAAACACUUGGAAAAUUUCGAUGCAUUUAUUCCAACGCCUUCACUGCCUUUUUUUUCUUUUUUUUUUUUUUGAGACAGAGUCACACUCUGUCGCCUGGGCUGGAGUGCAGUGGCACAAUCACAGCUUGCUGCAACCUCCACCUCCUAGGUUCAAGCGAUUCUCCUGCCUCAAUCUCCCAAGUAGCUGGGAUUACAGAUGCACACCACCAUGCCCAGCUAAUUUUUUGUAUUUUUAGUAGAGAUGGGGUUUCACCAUGUUGGCCAGGCUGCUCUCGAUCCUGGCCUCAAGUGAUCCACCCACCUCAGCCUUCCAAAGUGCUGAGAUUACAGGUGUGACCCACCGCGCCCAGCCCACUCUCUGUCUUAAACCCAAAAAAGAGUGUUAUUCAGAGAUUCAAUCCAGGUUUAUUGAACCCCCACUAUGUAGCUGAUCCAGUGUUGAUGCCAGAUAUACCAUAUGUAUUUGCCUCAUCCACAGAGCUUACAGUUGGGGGCUGGUGGGUGUGGGGGGCAGACAUUCAACAAAGUAACACACAAAUAGAUGCUGCAGAUUACUAAUUUUUAUAACAAUCUAUUUCUUCCUCCCUGAUUUGCCUCAGACACUGACGAAUCUAAUGUGAAGGUCCAGAGUUCAGUGUGCCUCUCGCCCUGCAUGUUUUGGGGCCUUCCUUAGCUCUGAAGCCAGAGAAUCCCAGCUCAAACUCACCUAGCAACUGUGUAGCUUUGAGCAAGUUUCUUAAUUUCUGUGCUUCAAGGAAAUCACAAAAAGUGCUCAAUAGUUCUCUCCACAUAAAUCUUUUUUAGAUUGAUUCCUGGGCUCUUGAGUUUUUUGUUACUACAAAUAAAAUCUUUAAAGUAAUACUUUCUAACUGUUGGCUGUGGGUAUAUGUAAAUAUAACUUAGUUUUGGUAUACUGGUUUUUAACACUUCAAUAUGUCACCAUUAAGCAUAUUAGCUAUUGAUAUGGUUUGGCUGUGUCCCCACCCAAAUCUCAUCUUGAAUUGUAGCUCCCAUAAUCCCCACAUUAUGGAAGGGACUCAGUUGGAGGUAACUGAAUCAUGGGGGUGGGUUUUUCCCUUGCUUUUCUCAUGAUAGUGAAUAAGUCUCAUGAGAUCUGAUGGUUUUACAGAGGGCAGUUCCCCUACAGUCUCUUGCCUGCCACCAUGUAAGACAUGCCUUUGUUCCUUCUUCACCUUCCGCCAUGAUUGUGAGGCCUCCUCAGCCACGUGGAACUGUGAGUCCAUUAAACCUCUUUUCUUUAUAAAUUACUCAGUCUUGGGUCUGUCUUUAUUAGCACCAUGAAAAUAGGCUAAUACAGCUAUCAUCUUUUUUUUGGUAUAUAAUCCUCAUCAAAUUAAGAAAUUUCCUUUCUCAUCCCAGUUCACUUGGAAUAUUGAUGGGUGCUGGCUCUUAUCAAGUGAUCUUUCUGCAGCUAUUGAGAUGAUCAUGUGACUUUUCCCCUUUAAUCUAUUAUUGUGGGUUACCACUGGUGAUUUUCAAACGUUGAAACCAUUCUUGAUCGACAAGAUGAAGCCAACUGGGUAAUGAUGUUUUACUCAGUAAAACAUUUUGUGUAUUGCUAGAUUCUCUUUGGCUAAUAUUUUGUUGAGUAUUUUUCCUAUGUACAUUUUUUGAGAUUAGCCUGUAAUUUUGUUCUCUUGUACUGUCCUCAAGUUUUGGAAAUUUCAAGAUUAUGCCAGUCUCGUAAAACGAGUCAGAGAGUGUCCCAUAUUUUUCCAUUCUCUGGAAUAGUUUGUAUAUUAUUGAAAUAAUUUCCUUUUUAAAUGUGAGAUAGAACUUACUAGUGAGGCCUUUUGGGCCUACAGUUUCUUUUCUUUUUUCUUUUUUAGAUGGAGUUUUCUCUUGUUGCCCAGGCUGGAGUGCAGGGACGUGAUCUUGGCUCACUGCAACCUCCACCUCCCGGGUUCAAGUGGUUAUCCUGCCUCAGCCUCCCAGGUAGCUGGGAUUACAGGCGUACGCCACCACACCUGGCUAAUUUUUUGUAUUUUUUAGUAGAGACAGGGUUUCAUCAUGUUGCCCAGGACGGUCUUGAACUUCUGACCUCAGGCCAUCUGCCUGCCUUGGCCUCCCAAAGUGCUGGGAUUACAGGCCUGAGCCACAGUACCUGGCCCUACAGUUUCUUUUGUAAGAUGUUUGAUCACUAAUGCAUUUUUUUUUCAAUGGUAUGGGACUAUUCAGGUUUUGUUUUGUUUUGUUUUUGAGUCUAAGUUGCAUUCUUAUGGGAGUUAUUUUCAUUGAAUUUUCAAACUUUUGGCAAAAAGUUGCUUAUAAUAUCAUCUUAUUGUCUUUCUAUAGCCUGCGGCAUCUGCAGUAAUGUCACCUUUUUCAUUCUGAGACUGGUUAUUUGUGCUUUCUUUUUUCAUUGAUGAUUUCAUCACAGGCUAGUAGUCAAUGUUAUUAGCUUUGUAAAGAAAUGAUUUUUGGCUUUGUUGAUUAUAUCAUUUAUAUGUAUGCUAUUUCAGUAAUUUCUGCUCUUAUAUUUGUGUGCCCUUUUUAACUUUUCUUUGGAUUUCCUUUGCUGUUCUGUUUCUCCUUGUGAAUUCUGUCCUUCCUUUUCCACAUACUCACUUAUGUCUAUACAUUUCUAAGUACUGAUAUUGCUUUAUGCUACACAUUUUGAUAUGGUUCCUUUCCUUUCCUCUCCUCUCCUUCCUUCCUUGUUUUCUUUUUUUUGAGACGGGGUUUCACUCUGUCACCCAGGCUGGAGUGCAGUGGCACGAUCUCGGCUCACUGCAACCUCCACCUCCUAGGCUCAAGUGAUUCUCCCACCUCAGCCUCCUGUGUAGCUGUGACUAAAGGCACAUGCCACCACACCUGGCUAAUUUUUG